This is a long non-coding RNA of Melanotaenia boesemani (Boeseman's rainbowfish), 566 nucleotides long. RefSeq lists it as uncharacterized. The record is from RefSeq and is a predicted model, not a curated record. NCBI's taxonomy places the organism in Eukaryota, Metazoa, Chordata, Actinopteri, Atheriniformes, Melanotaeniidae. The transcript is spliced from 4 exons.
UGAAGCUGAAAAACAGAGAAACUACUUUGAAAUCAGAAAUCAGGAUGACUCAUCGGGGAGAGAAUAUUAAGGCCCUCGUGGCAAUUGCAAACACUGCAGUCAGCAUUACAGUUGGGAGUCUGACCAUAACACCUGCUUCUCUCGCUGUAUUAGGAACAGUAAUAGUAGUUGGAACAGUCGGAUCAGUUUGGUUGUUAAAAAAAUAUGCUAAGCGCACAUGAGAUAUAUGAUUAUCCCGUUAACUUCAACAACUACUCCAAAAUCAAGAGACAGUGCCAAUCGCUACUGGAAACAACUGCUUUGAAAUUCUGCCAGGUCACAUUAUAGAAAACUUUUAUUUAAAUGUGUUACUGAAGGCAAAAAUCACCAAGAUAACUAAACUGAUCAACCUGAAAAUCACUAAUGUGCUCAGAAUGAAAUUAUGCUUCAUUUACUGCUGUUAUAAGCCUCGUAAUUUACCUUCUUGUUUGUGAUAAGAAAUGAGAAAUCAAAAGCAAAGCUGCUCUGCUCUUAGAAAUCAUGUUCAGUGCAUACUUAUGAUUCAAUAAAAACAUGAGGUAGCUCAA